CCCGUUUUUGCAGGAGGAGGCAGCGACCCCGAGGGUGCCCCGGUCCGAGGCAGCCCCAUCCCCCGGGCGGGGCGGAACCGGGCCGGGCCGAGCCGUGCCGUGCUCGCCGACGGGGCGGGCGGUGUCCGGGCUCGCGCCGUCCGCGCUCGUGUCGCCCAAAAAUGUCUCAUUAGCUAACUACUGUCCGCCGUGACGUCACCGGGGCGGCGCAGCCAAUGGGCGAGGCGCUGGCGUGGAUAUUAAGGGAAAGUUAGUGCAAAGGCAGCACCCCUCUUUUGCUGUCAUUGACAUUUAAACUGUGUGGCAGGUUCUCGCGUGGAAAUUGGCGACCGGAGCCGCCAGGUACCGCCGCGCCCGGACCGUGCGCUCCCGCUGACAGGAUGCGUGCGGCGGGACGCGCGGCCUCGGCCAGCGGCGUUUAGGACAUCCAGGAGGGGAGCAGCUCGGCGGGACGGCCCACGGGACUCACAGGUUCGUGCUUCAUCUCGGACUUUACUUUCUUCUUCUUCUCUUUCCCUCGGGAAAAUUUUCCUCGGCGUCCCCGGAAUGGUGUCUGGCUAACUCAGUGGCAGGUGUUACUUUGGAAAGUUUGGGGGAAGAGGAGGGGAGCAAGGGGCUGCGGGGUGAGGGAUGUUCUUGUCUCAAUUUGGUGCCUCUGGUGUUGCCCUUACCUUCAAGGGGGGGGAUCCCAUCACACUCAAACGCUCCCGUGCGUCCAUCGCGACAUUCGGCUCCGUUCCUUAAAAACUCGGGGCAAAACUCGAAACAAAACAGGCUGACCUAGGCCUGAGCAAGGCGGCAGAGCUGCUGCAGGUGGGCUCUGCCGGGUCCCGCAUCCUCCAGGACGGGCUUUGCUCCCGGGCUGGAGGCUCCCAGCUCGGCCCCUGCCUCGGAGCGGGGUGGUCACCGCGGCCUCGGGGGAAGGGCAGGGCAGGCAGCGGCGGAGGGACAGGCUGCAGUCUCUUAAGAGCCCAUUUUGUGCUAUUAGGAAGCGGUGGCAGCUUCUCGGCGGGACAGGGGAUGACAGUGCAUGACGGCCGAGCAGCCCAUUAUCCCGCUCCCAUUGAGGCGCCCUUUCACUCACAUGCAAACUCCUUGGCAGAGUCGUUUGUCUCCUCAUUGUACUUUAUUUAAGAAUGCAAUGGUUGUCAGGGCUCUUAUUCAAUUUCAAGAUACUUUAUUGAUGAGCUUUGACUUUUAGCACUUUUCACAUGUCAAGAGAAGUCAAGUGUAUGCGGCUACGACUUCAUUUUAUGCUUUGCGCGUUCAUACUCUCCACUUUCCGCCGUGGCUCUUGGAAUUUCUUUUCCCUGUCUCUUUUCCUUCUUCCCUUUCUUUUCCCCAAGCCCCAUUUUUUUUUUUAAUUGUUUUUCCCGAUGCAGACCCCCCCUUCCCCCUCCCCCCGGACCACUCGCCAUAAGCGAUUGGGACACCCUGAGCUCGGGCUGGUGCUCCCAGUGUAACCUUAAAUGCAUGCGCUGAGGGGUUGCUUUAGAGUUUACUGAGGUGUGUCUUAAUAGUCCGGCAUUCAACAAAUGUACUUGUGGUGUGUGGUCAGAGCAGCAAAGUCAUUUACUUACUUUCCCCCUUGAGUUUCUGGCAGCCAGUGAAGGGGGUCCCUUGCAAAAGGAGAGGGAAGGAGGGGGGAGCCUUUUCGGACGGGCACAAAGCGGCAGCACUGCCCAGCGCCCGGGUCUGCCUUUCUCCAACUCCUCCGUGGGAUCUUUAAAAAAAAAAAAAAAAAAAAAAGGGGGGGGGGGGGGGGGGGGGGGGGGGGGGGGGGGGGGGGGGGGGGGGGGGGGGGGGGGGGGGGGGGGGGGGUUUGAAGGAUAAGCCAAAAAAAAAAAAAAAAAAAAAAAAAAAAAAAAUCAGUCCGGCAGCCCUUAGUCAACAAAUGGCACGUGGGAGAAGUUGGUGAGUGUUUGGUAAAGGACUCUUCAGGGCCUUUCACAAGAGCCCUCAAUACACAAAGUAAAUGGUGUAUUUGCUCUGCUCUUUCCCGGCCGGCCAGAGCGGGGAAGGGGGGGGGGGGGGGGGGGGGGGGGGGGGGGGGGGGGGGGGGGGGGGGGGGGGGGGGGGGGGGGGGGGGGGG
Molecule: long non-coding RNA, 2092 nt
Organism: Ficedula albicollis (Collared flycatcher)
Lineage: Eukaryota; Metazoa; Chordata; Aves; Passeriformes; Muscicapidae
Source: Ensembl